This 14603-nucleotide long non-coding RNA is filed under the name Homo sapiens (human). RNAcentral describes it as "non-protein coding LINC01732:8". The record is from RNAcentral. Lineage: Eukaryota; Metazoa; Chordata; Mammalia; Primates; Hominidae.
GUUUCUGCCUGUGUGUCCCUGGGUGUCUGCAUCUGCGUGGCAGCAGCCCAGCAUGAGGCUGAGGGUGAGGGAGGCAUGCCCGGGCAUGUCUGCUGGGGCAGGCUGGCCAGGUUCCUGAGAAGACCAAGGAGAUCCUUGGGAGAGGAAAGCCCUUCUCCUUCAGUGGUCAGCUAACUACUCCUCCAUGAAGCCAUCCCUGAUUCCUACUCCAGCCCCCAAGGAAGAGCUGCAGGAAACAGAAAAUGCACUGCCUAGAUGGACCCUCUGACUCCCCACCACCCAGGCUGGAGCGGCAGAGGCUGCCAGGAAGAGCCAGAAAACAGGUCACUGACCAGCUAAUACAGGCCAAGGCUGCUGGGAGGCCAGGAAUAUGGCCAUGAGGAGCACAGCACGAUGUUCCCUCUAUCACGUGUGCAUAUUCUAGUGGAGGAAGACUGACAGUAAGUAGGUAAAUAUAUGUACAUCAGGUGGUGGCAAGGGCUAUGGAAAAAAUGAGCAAGAGAGGGGCAUAGAAAGUGGUAGGAUGGAAGGGAGAUAGGGUGGGCAGGGAGGGCCAGAUAGAAUGCAGUUUGAGCCACUUAGAUCUCUGAAGGAAGGAAGAACAUUCCAGGGAUAGGGACCAGGAGGACACAGGUGCCAGGACAGGAGCAUACUGGGCAUUUUCAAGGACAGGAUGGAACCCAAUGUGGCUGGUGUGGAGUGAGAGGUGGGGAAGGGAUAGGAGCGGGAAUGUGGAGGGAAGAUGGCCUGGGGUCCUGUGGGCAUUAGCCGGGCUCACAGGGGAGCUCUUGGAGGGUUAUGAGCGAGAAGUGAGCUGCUCCGUGCAUUCCAAGGAUCCCUCUAGGAGACCUGAGAUACCUCCUUGCCCUGUUCUGCAGCUGCGCUGGCUGCAAGGUACAGAUUUGGCCCUCAGCUAAAUUGCAAGGAAGACAGAGGAAGAGAGAGGAAGGUUCCAUUCUCCUGUUUCUUGCCCAUUUCUCCUCAUCAGUGGAACCCUGCCUGUGCAUGGUCUUCUUUAUUUGCACACAGCUCCCUGCCCUCCCCAAUACCUUACCAAUGAUUUACGCUUUAGUAAAAUCAAGGCUAUGCAUUCCAUGACCCCUUCUCCAAAGUGAUGAAUUAUGUCUCCAGAAAAGAUAUGUUGAAGUCCUAACCCCCAACUACUGCAGAAUAUGACCUUAUUUGGAAAUACGGUCAUUGUAGAUGAAUUAGUUAAGAUGAAAUCACGCUGGAGUAGGAUGGGCCCUUAAUCCCAUAUGAAUGAUGUCCUUUUAAGAAGAUAAUGUGGGCCGGGUGUGGUGGCUCAUGCCUGUAAUCCCAGCACUUUGGGAGGCGGGUGGAUCACCUGAGGUCAGGAGUUCAAGACCAGCCUGGCCAACAUGAUGAAACCCCAUUUCCACUAAAAAUACAAAAAUUAUCUGAGCGUGGUGAUGGGCACCUGUAAUCCCAGCUACUCAGGAGGCUGAGGCAAGAGAAUCACUUGAACCCAGGAGGCAGAGGUUGCAGUGAGCUGAGAUGGCGCCACUGCACUCCAGUCUGGGUGACAGAGUGAAAAUCCCUCUCAAAAAAAAAAAAAAAAAAAAAAGCUGAUGUGAGAUACAAGGGAGGAAGGCCAUGUGAAUAUGGAGGUGGAGGUGGGAUUAGGCAGCUGCAUGCCAAGAACAAGGCCAAGGAUUGCUGGAAACCACUGUGAGCUGGAAGAGGCAGGGAAGGACUCUUCCCCAGAGCCUCCCGAGGGAGCGUGGCCCUGCUGACUCCUGGAUUUCAGGCUUCUGGCCUCCAGAAUAAUGAGAAAAUGAAUUUCUGUUGCUUUAAGCCACCUGGUUUGUGGUACUUUGUUAUGGCAGCCUUGGAAACGAGUCCCAGGGAUGUUUCUUAGGGUCUGAUUUCUAAUCAUAAAAUUUGAGAUUUUAUCCCAUUCAAAGAAAUAUCCGAAGUCUUAUUAGCCUACUAGUCAGCCUUUACCUGAGGACAAAAGUGCUUUGUUUUGGGGGAAUCCUGGGGCUGUAUGGGAAUUCCAAAGGGCACAUUUGGCUCAAUGGCCUGGAUGUCUUACCUUUGGGAAGCAGGGAGCUGGGAGGAGCCUAGCUGGACCCCUGCCGCUCUGCUGGAUGGGUUUGGCUCAGGGUGUGGAUAUUGGUUAGGUGUGGAUACAAAGGCUUGGUCCUUGCUGUGGCAGAGAAGGUUGAUAAAGGGGCCUGGGGAAAAUUAAAUUAGAUGCUGAACUUUGCCUUUUAUUCAUUUGCCUGAAGAUUAAGCUGUCCACAGGUUAAUCUGCAGGUCCGUUCACAGGCCAGGGACACAAAAUGAUCAAGACAGAGUCCCCUUCAAACAAACACCACACAUGUAUGUUCACUGUGGCAUCAUUCACAAUAGCAGAAGGUGCAGACAACCCAAAUGUCCCUCAGUGGAUGAAUGGAGAAACAAAACAUGGCACACCCACACAAUGGAAUGCUCUUCAGCCAUAGAUGGAAUGAAGUACUGCCCCACGCUACAGCAUGGACCAACCUCGAAGACAUCAUGCUGCGUGAAAGAAGUCAGCCAGAAAAGGCCAUAUACUGUAUGAUUCCUUUCAUGUAAUAUACCCAGAAUAGGCAAAGCCACAGAGACAGAAGGCAGAGUGGUGAUUGUCAGGGCUUGGAGGAGGGAGAAAUGGGGAGUGGCUGCUUAAUGGGUAUGGGUUUCCUUUAGGGUGGUGAAAGUGUUCUGGAACUAGGUAGUGGUGAUGGUUGUCUAACACUGGGAAUGUGCUAAAUGUCACUGAAUUGUGCAAUUGAAAGUGGUAAAUUUUAUGUAAUUUUACUACAAUUUUAAAAAAACAACAGAGUGAGAGAAGACAAUCAACAGAGAAAUAGAUAUUUAACAUAUACACUAUGAAGACCAAGAAGAUGGGCUAAGGAGGCAGAGAGUGAUGACGAGGGUGCUAUUUUAUGGGGUGGUCAAGGCUGGCCUUUCUGAGGAGGAUGUGUGGGGAGAGCCAGGCACAUGGCUGGGAGGAGACCCUUCCAGGAUGUGGAGGAGGAGCAGCAAAGGCCUGGGGCAGAAGUGAGAAGGAGUGCUGGGGAACCAGCAAGAGGCUACCGGGACUGCAGCUGCAGUGGGAGGGGGUGGUGAAGGGAUGGGGUGGGGGGGCAGCGGGCAGAAGAGGCCAAGUGCCUGCAACCACUGUCAGGGGUGGGAGCAGAGUAGUGGAGGGAGGGGCGAGUGUGGAAGCAGGAAUUCAGCCAGGAGGCCGUUGCAGACAGGGAUCUGUUUCUGAAGAUCCAUCAAGACCGGAGACUAAACACUUGCUUCUUGCUUUGGCUGUGCUGCUAUUAAUUAGAGCUCUGCAAACGGCCUCUCUCCUGUCCUCAAUUCCAGUGCUGCAGAGUCAUGAUUAAGCAGAUCUGUCACUAAGUGAGGAUUUUGUUGUGCUUUUUGAAUGCAGUGCCUAGGUAUGUUCAUUUAUUUUUCUUUCAAGUUUGUAUUGAACGACGUAUUAUAUCUCACAUGGUAUGUCUCCUGUGCCCCACUGCCUGGGGCUCCCUGUCCCUCUCCACUUGCUUUCUUUUUUCCCAUUGCACUUACUUAUCACUACCCAACACAUUGGACAUGCAUUUGGCAUGCUUGGUUUUAUGUGUCAAACUUGGCUAAGCUAUAAGAUCCAGUUAUUUUUUUUUAUUUUUUCAUUUUUAUUUUUGAGAUGGAGUCUCGCUUUGUGGCCCAGGCUAGUGUGCAGUGGCGCGAUAUCGGCUCACUGCAAGCUCUGCCUCCUGGGUUCACGCCAUUCUCCUGCCUCAGCCUCCUGAGUAGCUGGGACUACAGGCGCCCGCCACCAUGCUUGGCUAAUUUUUUUAUUUUUUAUUUUUUAGUAGAGACGGGGUUUCACUGUGUUAGCCAGGAUGGUCUCGAUCUCCUGACCUUGUGAUCUGCCCGCCUUUGCCUCCCAAAGUGCUGGAAUUACAGGUGGGAGCCACCGCGCCCAGGCAAGACCCAGUUAUUGAAGCAAACACUAACCUAGUGUUGCUGUGAAGGUAUUUUAUAGAUAUGGUAAACAAGAUCAGUUGUCUUUAAGUAAAGGAGAUUACCCUUGAUAUCUUGGUGGGCCUCAUCUAAUCAGUGGAGAGGUUUGAAGAGGAAAACCGACGUUUCCCUAUGCAAGAAGAAAUUCUGCCCCAAGACUGCAGCAUCAGUUCCUGCAUGAGUUUCCAGCCUGCUAGCCUGCUCCACAGAUCUCAGACUUGCCAGCCUCCACAACUGUAUGAGCCAAUUCCUGAAAUAAAUUCCUUUAUACAUAUAUGUAAUAUGUACACAUACACACAUCUAUGUCAUCUAGAUUUAGAGCUAAUCUAGCUCCUCCUGGCUCUGUUUGUCUGGAGAACCCCGACUGAUACUGAUGUGUUUAUUUGCUUAUCAUCCUCCCUACCCCAGACGGAGGCUCUCUAAGGGGAAGAUCUUUUGUCUGUUUCCUUCAUGCUGUGUCUGAAGUGACCAGGACAGCAGCCGGCAAUAGGACGUGCUCAGUCGAUAUUGUACAAUGGAUCUUCAUAAUUCUUGCUUAUUUGUGUGGUUGUUAUCUGUCUGAAAUUCAAGAAAGAAGGACAUGAGAAAAGAAAAGGAUGAAAGCACACUGGUCUUAUCUGAGGCUGGGGAUUUCCCCGUUGGGCCCAGUGUUGUGGAUUCUGCAGUUGAGUUGUGUCUGUUUGCAGCUGAAAGAAAGCUGUGGCAGUGAGGAGAGGUUGCAAAUUUAGAAUCAAGUUCAAGUUCUCCUAGCAACAUGCACACCCCCGCUGCUGGCUGGUGUAAUCCAAGCACCAAACACGUGCAGCUGGGGCAGUGCGUGUUGCUAGGAGAACAAUGACUCUCUUGCUUCCAGAGCUGGUAGGUGACUGCGGUAUUACCAGGGGCGCACAAAGUGGGUGUUGCCCUUUGUUUCCCAAGUAAUUGUUUUAAAGCAAGGUGAGGAGGAGCCUGGGGAAGGGUAGAAUGAGAGAAAGCAUGAACCCUGAUUUGUGUUUGUUUGUUUAGGAACUAGAGGUUAGUGAAAAGCCUCUUGUUUCAGAAUGUGUCCCAAAUGGGUUUACAAUUAGUGACAGAGUCUGUAGGAGCUUAUGAAACAACCAAUUCCCCACACUGUUUGGCUCUCAGCAUCCACAGACCAUCUGGAUCAGCUGAGCAUGAAGUGUGGGGGCGUGCAUUGGGGGUGGGGUCCAGAAACAAAAAAGAUCAAGCUGGCAUCGGUUGGGGCGGGAGAGGGAUUUGGGUUUUCAGAUUUCCUUUCGCUUAAUUACAUUCGCAGGCUGUCCUGAUCCUCAUUCCCCUUCCCCAUUGUUUCUGCCCUGUCAGCGGGGUUGACUGGCUGAAAACAGACCACCCGGGCAGCCAGAAGAACUGUGCCUGUCCCGGCAGCCCUGACUCUGGACAGGUGGUGUGGGGUGGUGUGAGGUGGUUGGGGGACGGGAGAACAGGGAAGCAGGGCCAAGGACAGUAAUAUCCCUGGCCACUCUUCAUAUAUGUAGUCACCAAUGCUCAAAGUCCUCCAUGCCCCCACUUCCAUCCUGCAAAGGAGGAAGCUGAGCUGCCAAGGAGUGGCAGAGCUGAGAGCAGCACCAGCUCCGUCUCUCCCGAAGACCACCUUCUUUCUCCCAUGUCUGCCUGCAGGAUUUGAUGAUGAGACAUCGUCUGCUACAGGAUUUGCAGGGAAACAUGGAGUAUCACUUUGGGCCUAUUUUCUAAGAGAAUGGCCUGAAGAGAAUAGAUUCAAGUUUUCUCCCAGAAAAGCCUCUGCUUCAGGAGCAGGUAGCAGAAAAAAUACAAUAUGUUCAUCAAACAGGUUUGAUUCCCCUCCUGGACACAUGGAAAGGCUAUCUUUUUUUUUUUUUUUUUUUUUUUUUUUUUUUUUUUUAAGACGGAGGCUCGCUCAGCCACUCAGGCUGGAGUACAGUGGCAUGAUCUCAGCUCACUGCACCCACUGUCUCCUGGGUUCAAGCGAUUCUCCCGUCUCAGCCUCCCAGGUAGCUGGGAUUAUAGGCACCUGCCAUCAUGCCUGGCUAAUUUUUGUAUUUUAGUAGAGACAGGGUUUCACCAUGUUGGCCAGGCUUGUCUUAAACUCCUGAACUCUGCCCGCCUUGGCCUCCCAAAGUGCUAGGAUUACAGGCGUGAGCCACUGCACCCGGCUGGAAAGGCUAUCUUUCUGAGCUUCCACUACUGUAAGGUGGAGUCAUAGUGUUAGAGUAGGUAGCUAAGCAGACAUGAGCAGGACAGGAGAGGACUCCCCACCCCCCCCCCGCCCACAGGAAUGUCAGGCAACCAUCAGGUGAUGGUCAGGCAGUUGUUAACUGUCAGUCUAAAAUAAUAAUAGGGCAUAGCUGGCACCAAGGAAAGGAAGACUCCUAAUAGAAAACACCUGAAGCUGGUGAGCAGCCGCUUCCUGGUAAGAUCUCAGGAGCUGGGCAAGUGGGCUCUAGCCUGGGCACUAAGAGGCAAAAUGACAGAGUUUAACCUGUAUAUGACCUUCCUCUAGGAACACUCUACUGGUAAGGGGAGAAAUGCCUCAAAUGAGCAUGUGCACAACUUCAGUAAACAUGCUGUGCAUGUGGCCCCUCCCAAGUGCCCGCAGGCCACCACACAAGUGGACAGCCCUGGACAGCCCGCCCCUAGGGAAGAAUCAAGGGAGGAGAAACAGAAGCCCUGGAACUGUGCUAGCAUAUAAAACCCCAAGUCAAGGGCUGAAUGGCACACUUGGAUCUCUCAAGUCACCUGCUUGGCCCCCUUCCAAGUGUAUUUACUUCCAUUUGUUCCUGCUCUAAAACUUUUUAAUAAACUUUCACUCCUGCUCUAAAACUUGCCUCGGUCUCUCCCUCUGCCUUAAAACUACUUCUGCCCCCGCAGCCGAAUUCUUUCCUCUGAGAGGGCAAGAAUCAAGUUGCUGCGCACCCCUGCAGAUUCACUGCUGCUAACAAUGGGGCUGGUUUUCUGGCCUGUGGAACGUGGGCUAAAGGGAUGAGCAGCCCUGCCUGGCUCGGUCCUAAAACCUGCCAUACCAUCCUCCCCCUGUUUUCUUCCCGUCUGCUUGUUGGAUGCAGGGGACCCAGGGUGGUACUCCAAGGCCCUGAAAGACAGUGGAGCUACUUGGGAGGAGCCCAGGUCCCGAAUGCCUUAGUGGAGCAGAAUGUCUGCUACACUCAACUCGUAUUGGACUCUGAAGGCAAAACUCACCUUUGUUGUGUUGAGCCACUAAGUUUUGGGGGACAUCUGAAACAGGCUGUGCUGAUUAAUACGGAGCGGCCAGGAGGGCAUGGGAAAUGAUCAGUUUUGUGGGCUGGGGGAGAGGCAGUGGGAUUUGGUGGAAGUGUUUCCAUGAGGGGGCAGAGAAGAGCCUCCUGGAGAUAGAAAGGUGAAGUGGAAAGUGCUAUCCUAAAUUGAGAAAAGGGAGCCAGUGUGUGUGCACCCUCUUAUAUUUGUAAAUUAGAGUUAACACUUCUGGUGGGGCCCUCUGUAAACUGUAAAUACGGAUAAUAAUGAAGGUUUGUAUUGCAUACACACUUUUCUAAGUGCUUCAGAUGGAUGAUCUCAUUUAACCUUCAUAACAUCCCGGUGAGGUAGGAACUAUUAAUAUCAGCCUCAUUUUAGAGGUGAGAAAACAGAGAUGAAGCACUUUCCCCACCACCACCAGAAAGUAAGUGGCACAGCCAGGAUGGAGUUGAGGUAUCCAGGCUCUUGAACCUGCCUCUUAACCAUGAUGUCUCUCUCUCUAUGGACUGCACACUAACACCUUUCUAAUCAGGAUGAAGAAUUCUGCUGUUAUACCUGGUGGUCUGAAAUAAAGCAGAAAUUUGGCUGGCUCAAGUGUUCCAGGUUGCUCAAGAAGCCAUGCAAUUCAAUCCUCUCUGAAACGGUGCUGUAUAUUCCUGGAAGCAUCCUAGAGGGAACAGGGAGCGCUGGGCUGAUGGGGGAAAAUGAGGGUCGAGAAUGGGAGAGGCCAGCCUGCAUUAUUUGUAGGCUCAGAGGAAGGGUCCUGAGUGGAGGACUAAAGGAGCCACUGUGGCUAGACCGGUGCUCUUCUGACCCUGGUGCCACCCAGGAGUGCGUCUCACUGCUGGGGCUGGCCAGCCCUGGCACAUCUGGCGAAAGGACUGUUGGUGGGAAGAGACCUCAGCCACCCUCUCUAGACUGUGUCCUAAGAAGGAGGAUGGGUCCGAAGGUGGGAAACGUAUCCUAUACAUCUUUUUUUUUGAGAUGGAGUUUCGCUCUUCUUGCCCAGGAUGGAGUGCAAUGGCAUGAUCUUGGCUCACUGCAACCUCCGCUUCCCGGGUUCAAGCGAUUCUCCUGCCUCGGCCUCUCAAGUAGCUGGGAUUGCAGGUGUGCACGAGCACACCCAGCUAGUUUUUGUAUUUUUAGUAGAGAUGAGAUUUCACCAUGUUGGCCAGGCUGGUCUCAAACUCCUGACCUCAGGUGAUCCAUCCACCUUGGCCUCCCAAAGUGCCGGGAUUACAGGUGUAAGCCACCACACCCGGCCUCCUAUACAUCUUUGUAUCUUAUACAAGAGAGGUUUGAAUCCGCAAAGCAAAUCCUUAGCAAGGGCCUACUAUGUUCCAGGAGAUGUACUAGAUACUGUGAUAGUGAACCAUGGCACGGCCCCUUCCUCAUGGAGCUUUCAGUCUAGAAUCUUCAUCGGAGGAGGAGCUGAAGGUCAUAGGCACUAUAGGGGUGGGGCUGGGAUGGCAAAAGGGCUCAGAAGUUCAGAAACCUCCAAAGCUAAGUCAUACAGUUUGACUGGGAUGGGGUUGUUUACUUGCAAGUGUUUUCUGACAGCUGGAAGCUGUUCCUAAUGGCAAUUUGUCCACAAGAACUUAUACACUGCAUUUUAGAGUUGUGGGAGAGUGAAGGAGCCCUCACCUGGGCUGGCUUCCACCAGGGAGCCAUAAGGGGAGCUCUUGAGUGGGGAUUUGGAUAACCCUUUUUUAGGACCAGCAGAAAUGAUGCCCAGAAUAGGGUCUUUCCAUUUUCAAUGUCGCUUUGCAUGAAGAUCUACUUGAGAGGCUGAGACAGGAGAAUCACUUGAACCCGGGAGGCAGAGGUUGCAGUGAGCCAAGAUCAUUUGGGAUCAAUUAAGUCUACCUUUAAUUUUCUCAGUGCCACAGGCACUCAGAUGGAGCUGAAACCUUGCAUUGAAUUAGGAAGAGAAGAAAAAUCAUUGGUGGGUCUAGAGCCUGCAGACAUGAUUUGCUGCUGGGACACUGCAUGCAGGCAGCUGCGCUUUUCCCCAGUCUCUCUUGCUUCCUUGGACAGCAGCUUUUGGUAGUGUAAGUGUUGGAUGCCCAGCUGAUGUUUGGCCUUAGGGUGCAGGCAGACUUGGUGUCCUCAUUCCUUCAACAGAUGUGCUCUAAGUGGGAACAGCCUCCCUGUGCCAGGGAUGUGUCUGUCCCCUAUUCAUGCAAAAGCAGUGCUGGGAGUGCAGAGGCAAUGCGGAUGGGAGCUUGCUCAUUUUCUUCAUAUUUCCUUUAGGCUCCGAGACCCCCACGCACUCUCCACAUCAGGUUUAAUGCAACUCACAUGAACUUACAGAUGAGCAGGGCAGAAUUCCAAAAAUAUCCCUCUGCGGUCACCUCUCCUGAACUCCAGCCCUCUGUUCCUAGUUGCUUUCUGGAUGUCCUGCAACACAUCCCAAUCAUUAUGUCCUCCUUUUACUCCACCACCAUUUAUUUAGAGUCUUCUCUGUGCCAGGCCUUGCUAGUGUGAAGAAUAAAGAGUCAAAGAAGAGUUAGCCCUGCAUCAGUUCAAAUGGCCACCUCCUUCCUCCACCGGACCAAGCAUUCCUUGCUCCACAGCGAGUUCUCAGCACCUGGGAGUUAGAACAUAGUAGGUGCUCAAUAAAUAUUGUUGCAUACAUGUUGGAUAAACUAAACACCUGUCUUCAAAAGGCUUUGGGAAGAUUAGGGAAACAGAAGUGAACCAGUAACUGCAGUUCACCUAGCACAAGUGUUAGGAUGGAGGUGAGUAAGAAGCUGUACUGGGGAAGAAGAAGGGCAUUUGACUAAGUCUGACUGUGGGACUCAGGGGCUGCUUCCAGGAGGAGGCAAUGCUGGAGCUGAGAAUUGAAGAAUAAGUGAGAGACAGCCUGGUGAGGAAGGGGAUGGGAGUUGGGGGAAGGAUAUUCCAGCUCUUGACAAUAGCAGCCCAGGGACACCACUGCAGGUGUAUUCUGGGAGCAGUGGUAGUAGGUGAGGUGGAGAGGUCCAGGGCAGGUGGCCAGGCUCAUCUUUCUGCAAACCAGCGCCACCUUCCCCAUCUUCCCAGGUUCUCUGGUGGGCACCCUCAUUGUCCUGGAGCCGUUAGAGCAAUCCUCCACAGUCCAGCUUGUCUCUUCCUUGGGAUGAAGCCCUCCAGGUUCCAUGCUCACUCCAGCUGGGGCCUCUGGUCUAGCACCACCACUCCACCCUCACGUUCUGCUUGCCUGGGUUGCUGUCUCUGUCUCCUAACUGGUCCUCCCACCCCUUGUUUGGCUCCAAUUUAUCCUGCACACUUCUGCCAGAGUCAUCCUUUUAGCGCUCAGAUCCUUCCUCUGCUCAAUAGAUUUCAGCGGCUCCCAGGUAUCUACUAAAUUAGGUGAAAACUUCUUCUUUUUUUUUUUAAGAGAUGGGGUCUCAUUGUCACCCAGCCUGAAGUGCAGUGUCACAAUCACAGCUCACUGUAACCUUGAACUCCUGGGUUUGUUACAUAGAUAUACAUGUGUCAUGGUGGUUUGCUGCACCCAUCAACCCAUCAUCUACAUUAGGUAUUUCUCCUAAUCUAUCUCUCCCCUUGCCCCCUACCCCCCGACAGGCCCUGGUGUGUAACGUUCCCCUCCCUGUGUCCACGUGUUCUCAUUGUUCAACUCCCAUGUAUGAGUGAGAACAUGUGGUGUUUGGUUUCCUGUUCCUCUGUUAGUUUGCUGAGAAUGAUGGUUUCCAGCUUCAUCCAUGUCCCUGCAAAGGACAUGAACUCAUUCUUUUUUAUGGCUGCAUAGUAUUUCAUGGUAUAUAUAUGCCACAUUUUCUUUAACCCAGUCUAUCAUUGAUGGGCAUUUGGGUUGGUUCCAAGUCUUUGCUAUUGUGAAUAGUGCUGCAGUAAACAUACGUGUGCAUGUGUCUUUAUAUAGUAGAAUGAUUUAUAAUCCUUUGGGAAUAUACCUAGUAAUGGGAUUGCUGGUUCAAAUGGUAUUUCUGACUCUAGAUCCUUGAGGAAUCGCCACACUGUCUUCCACAAUCGAACUAAUUUACACUCCCACCAACAGUGUAAAAGUGUUCCUAUUUCUCCACAUCCUCUCCAGCAUCUGUUUUUUCCUGACUUUUUAAUGAUUGCCAUUCUAACUGGUGUGAGAUGGUGUCUCAUUGUGGUUUUGAUUUGCAUUUCUCUAAUGACCAGUGAUGAUGAGCUUUUUUUCAUGUUUGUUGGCUGCAUAAAUGUCUUCUUUUGAGAAGUGUCUGUUCAUAUCCUUUGCCCACUUUUUGAUGGGGUUGUUUGUUUUUUCCUUGAAAAUUUGUUUAAGUUCCUUGUAGAUUCUGGAUAUUAGCCCUUUGUCAGAUGGAUAGAUUGCAAAAGUUUUCUCCCAUUCUGUAGGCUGCCUGUUCACUCUGAUGAUAGUUACUUUUGCUGUGCAGAAGCUCUUUAGUUUAAUUAGAUCCCAUUUGUCAAUUUUGCCUCCAAAUUUCUAUGGAAUCCUAUGUGUCUUUCAAGGCCAGUGUUAAACUCUGCUGUCUCUGUGAAGCCUUUCCCAACUCCCUGAUGAAAUCAUAUUCUAGCUCUUCCCUCCUCCCUCAGCACUGCGCUAGCCUCCCUGUUGAGCUGGAGGGUGAUGGCUCCUUAUCAAAGCUAUUGGCAGUACUGAGGUGCUAAGCCAUGUGUAAGGGCUAGGGCAUCCAGGCAGACCUAGACUCUAGCAACCACUGCCUGCAAAGUCCCAAAGGGAGCCCUAGAGGAAGAACAGAGGAGGAAGCAGAAUCACCUUUACUCGUAGCUGGGCUUGGACCAUAAACCCCAUGCAGUGAACUGGGGUUAGCUGGGCUGAGUAUGGGGGCCUUCCUCUCCCCAAAUCUCUGCUCUUCUUGUUCUCUGGCCAGCCACAUGGAAGGACAAGGACAAUGCCUCAGCCUGGGCCAGUGAAGUGCAUCUGCUGGGUGAACAGAGAACCUCUGCAGCUACGUCCUCAGCUUAUCUUUUAUGCAUAGUGACUACACCCACUUCAAAUAUGUCAAUGUCCUGAAAUCUGACCAACCAGAUGAGUGCUCUUCUUCCUUGGGUCAGAAUGAAAGGCGAGGUGAGGGAGUCUUGAGAUCUUCUCAUCCUGCCUUUGAAAUCCCCCAAUACCCAGCACAGUGCUGAAGCCAGAGUAAGAGCAACAGGGAAUUGUUGAAUUAAUUUGAAGUCAAUACUGCUACCAUGAGACUGGGUCUGCCCCUCACCUCAGAAUCCAGGACGUGGAACUUCUAAACAGGGUGAGAAUUGACAUCAGAGUGCUGUCCACUUGGCUGCUAGGCAUCUCAUCCCUCUGCCUGCCUCUGUGCGAGUGCACUUAGACAGUGGAGCUCAGUAAAAUCCAACAACCCACGGGGCCUGGAGAACUCAGAGGAGAUGUCUGUCAAAGCUCACUCCCAGAGAUUCUGGCACUCUGGAGGACCACAGAGGAAACAGAUAUUGUGUGGCACCAUGUGAUGUAAGGGGGAAGAAAAGCCUGAGAAACAGAACAAACUGGGGAAAAAACACGGUGAAGCAGAAGUACACAGGCUGUGAUGGUGUAUGUGACCCUCUCUACUUAGAAGGAAGACAGUAAGAGAGGGGGAAGGGAGGAGGAGGAGGCUGCUAGGAUCUGCAUAGGACCCUGCAUGUCAAAAAGGACUUUUGGGGCUGGGUGAGGUGGCUCACGCCUGUAAUCCCAGCACUUUGGAAGGCUGAGGUGGGCAGAUCACGAGGUCAAGAGAUCGAGACCAUCCUGGCCAACAUGGCGAAACCCCGUUUCUACAAAAAAUAAAAAAUUUGCCUGGCGUGGUGGCAUGCACCUGUAGUCCCAGCUACUUGAGAGGCUGAGGCAGGAGAAUGGUGUGAACCCGGGAGGCGGAGGUUGCAGUGAGCUGAGAUCGCGCCACUGCACUCCAGCCUGGCUACAGAGUGAGACUCCAUCUCAAAAUAAAUAAAUAAAUAAAUAAAUAAAUAAAUAAAUAAAAAAAAUAAAAAGGACUUUGAGGAGAUGUGUUAAUCAAAGGAGCUGAAAUCCCUCAUUCGGGUCUGCCCUGCCAGGUGCUGGGCCCCUGCUCAGCUUGCCCCAAUCCUCUCUCCUGAAGCAGGUGGUCUCGCUUUCCCCGCAGCUGCUACCCAUGGUACCCAGUCAGUGAGGGAAUGCUGUUUGGCUCGCUGCUCUGUUUCGGGGGUAGAGGUUGGGUCAGGGGUGCCUCUCUCCCUCACUCUGGGGUCAAUUCUCAUCCUGCCUUGAGAUUCCAGGUCUGAACUCUGAAAUGGGGGACAGCUUCAUUCUUAUGAUACUGGGCCAAUAGUCAGGGGCCUGGGUUCCACUGCUGUGGCUAUCAGAAUGGGGUCUGCAGGUGGAUUUGUUCUUGUACAAGGAAUAGCCCUGUACAAGUGGGCAGGUGGAGGUGUUCAUGCGCACUCUGAAUAGAUGCUGGUGGCUGUUGGGAUGUCCUAGGUCACUGUGAGGUUCUGUGAUUGUGCUUUUGAAGUAGAUCAAGUAGGAUCCUAGUUAACUUUUGGCUUUUCCUUUGUCCUCCAAAUGUCUUUGGGGAUGGUAAUGUCUGUUCUACUGGUUUCCUGAAGAGUGAGCUGCCUUCUAAAUUUUAUAUAGUAAAAUCCUUAAGAUCAUUUAAAUUUCCCAUAUGGAACUUCGUAUUUUUGGAUCUCAACUGCAUGCUCCUUUCUUUCCCCUCCAAACAAAAGUCUCCUGUUUGAGUUUUUAAUGUCAGAACUUGAGGGGCUUACUCUUUAAGUAAGUGUAUUUGUAAUUUCUUGUAUUCACCUGGUUACUAAAGCUAUCACAGAUCAGAAACUUGGAAUACCAUGGUUUUUGGUCUUCAAAAUGCUUUCGUCAGCAUUAUUUCGUGCAAGCCUCACCUCCCCCACCUCCGGAAAGGAGGUUGGGUAGAUUUUUUAUUUUUAUCAUCAUUUUUCCACAGAUGGGAACAUCGAGGCACAGAUGGGCUGGGGCACACGUAGAGUCAGGGCAUAGCUGGGAUUAGAACCUGGAGUCUCCGCCAAAUGCUAUUCCCCAGAGACCUCAGCCAGGGAGCGAGGCGCUUCUCCAACGUCAGGGUGUAGAGUCCCGUCUUUGUCUUCUCAUCAGCCCAGAGCUGUGGCGCUGUGGGUGUAAUGCGCUUGGCACAGGGAAGCCAGGGAUUCCAGGAGCAGGAACCUCAGACUCAUGCCAGAGAUUGUCCUACAGGAGGGGUCACCUGGGGCCGGGGAUAUCUAACCCACAGAGAGAAAAGGGCCCCUGCAGGCUCUGCGCACCGGCGCCCGUGCAGCCCUCCCCACGGAUCACUGUUCCUGGACUGAAUGAAUUGCUCUAUGACCUACAGACUAGCAGUCCCUUCGGUGUUACGCCCUUCCUUCCACCUUCUCUCCCUUUUGUCACCCCG